CGGAGAGCGAGCGAAAGCUGCUAGCCCAUGCAAGGGACUCCAUGAAGCCUAUGAAAAUAUGUCAUAUAUUUCAUGAGAAACACUAGCUAGUGUAAUCACAACUAUACUCCAGAGAAAUAACCAUUAUGAAGAUUGAAGUUGAUAGAUUAGGCAGGGAAGACUUCGAAUUGCCCAAAAGGUUCCUGCUUGAUUUGUGAAACAGCCCAGGAAUAAGGGGCAUUCUCCUGGAUCAUUGUGCUUCGUGAGAGGAUGAGGGCUCAGGAAACCAUUGCACUGCUGUAUCCACUCACAUCAAUGUGAUUGAUUUUCUAGUGACACAGAAGAAUAUGUACUUUACAACUCCAUCCCUCACCUUGGAACUCAAAAUUUA
RNAcentral lists this long non-coding RNA (370 nucleotides) under Pan troglodytes (chimpanzee). RNAcentral describes it as "long non-coding RNA NONPTRT010564". The record is from RNAcentral. Lineage: Eukaryota; Metazoa; Chordata; Mammalia; Primates; Hominidae.